CACCCAAGUCUGAAAAGUAGUUGCUAUGCUCCUUUUUUGCAGGGGACUUCCUGUCAUUGGCUUUGGGUAAGGCAGUUCACUGUGUCCUCAGUUCACCUCUGACAGGGCUAAACCAUAUGCAAAUAAUGGGGCAUUUCAGCGUCUGACCGAAAAAAAAAAAAGAAAGAAAAGAAAAAAGAAAGAAGAAACAAAAAAGUAAGCCCAAUUAAUUCUGGUAGCUAUGCAGCAAAGCAGACAGUUAUGAAUGUGAUCUCCUUGAGGAUAGAGGCUCUUUCUGCUUCUCCUUGAAUCCCCAGCAUUUACCACAGAGCCUGGCACCUGAAUCUGGCACCAUGGCUUCAGUCUUCAUGGAAAAAGGGCGAGAAGAUUCUGAGUGAAGUUAGCCUGUGGAUGUGCAAGAGGCUUCCCAUAGACACAAUGUUGUUAUUUCAGUCAUGUCUGACUCUUCAUGAUCCCGUUUGGGUUUUUCUUG
Phascolarctos cinereus (koala) is the source of this 472-nucleotide non-coding RNA. NCBI's taxonomy places the organism in Eukaryota, Metazoa, Chordata, Mammalia, Diprotodontia, Phascolarctidae. The record is from RefSeq and is a predicted model, not a curated record.